Molecule: transfer RNA, 68 nt
Filed under: Marmota monax (woodchuck)
Lineage: Eukaryota; Metazoa; Chordata; Mammalia; Rodentia; Sciuridae
Description: tRNA.Ala
Source: RNAcentral
GGACUGUGGCUCAGUGGUAGAGUGUUCACCUAGCAUGUGUGAGGCACUGGGUUUGAUCCUCAGCACCA